UCAGAACGAACGCUGGCGGCAGGCCUAACACAUGCAAGUCGAGCGCAUUUCGGGACCGAGCGGCGGACGGGUUAGUAACGCGUGGGAACAUACCCUUUUCUAAGGAAUAGCCUCGGGAAACUGAGAGUAAUACCUUAUACGCCCUUCGGGGGAAAGAUUUAUCGGGAAAGGAUUAACCCGCGUUGGAUUAGCUUGUUGGUGAGGUAAAGGCUCACCAAGGCGACGAUCUCUAGCUGUUCUGAGAGGAAGAUCAGCCACACUGGGACUGAGACACGGUCCAGACUCCUACGGGAGGCAGCAGUGGGGAAUAUUGCACAAUGGGGGAAACCCUGACGCAGCAACGCCGCGUGGGUGACGAAGGCCUUAGGGUUGUAAAACUCUUUCACCAGGGAAGAUGAUGACGGUACCUGGCGAAGAAGCACCGGCUAACUCCGUGCCAGCAGCCGCGGUAAUACGGAGGGUGCUAGCGUUGUUCGGAAUUACUGGGCGUAAAGGGCUCGCAGGCGGUAAUGACAGUCAGAAGUGAAAGCCCCGGGCUCAACCUGGGAAUUGCUUUUGAAACUUCAUUUCUAGAGUUAUGGAGAGGUAAGUGGAAUUCCUAGUGUAGAGGUGAAAUUCGUAGAUAUUAGGAAGAACACCAGUGGCGAAGGCGGCUCACUGGCUCGAUACUGACGCUGAGGUACGAAAGUGUGGGGAGCAAACAGGAUUAGAUACCCUGGUAGUCCACACCGUAAACGAUGAAUGCCAGUCGUCGGGUAGCAUGCUAUUCGGUGACACACCUAACGGAUUAAGCAUUCCGCCUGGGGAGUACGGUCGCAAGAUUAAAACUCAAAGGAAUUGACGGGGGCCCGCACAAGCGGUGGAGCAUGUGGUUUAAUUCGAAGCAACGCGCAGAACCUUACCAACCCUUGACAUCCUAUGCCAACUCCAGAGAUGGAGCCUUCCUUCGGCUGGAUAGGAUACAGGUGCUGCAUGGCUGUCGUCAGCUCGAGUCGUGAGAUGUUCGGUUAAGUCCGGCAACGAGCGCAACCCACAUCCUUAGUUGCCAGCAGUUCGGCUGGGCACUCUAGGGAAACUGCCCGUGAUAAGCGGGAGGAAGGUGUGGAUGACGUCAAGUCCUCAUGCCCCUUACGGGUUGGGCUACACACGUGCUACAAUGGCAGUGACAAUGGGUAAUCCCAAAAAGCUGUCUCAGUUCGGAUUGGGGUCUGCAACUCGACCCCAUGAAGUCGGAAUCGCUAGUAAUCGCGUAACAGAUGACGCGGUGAAUACGUUCCCGGGCCUUGUACACACCGCCCGUCACACCAUGGGAGUUGGUUCUACCCGACGGCCGUGCGCUAACCCUUGGGAGGCAGCGGACCACGGUAGGAUCAGCGACUGGGGUG
RNAcentral lists this ribosomal RNA (1385 nucleotides) under uncultured prokaryote. RNAcentral's name for it is "partial 16S ribosomal RNA". It matches the Rfam family "Bacterial small subunit ribosomal RNA". The record is from RNAcentral.